Molecule: ribosomal RNA, 261 nt
Filed under: Triticum aestivum (bread wheat)
Lineage: Eukaryota; Viridiplantae; Streptophyta; Magnoliopsida; Poales; Poaceae
Description: partial small subunit ribosomal RNA
Source: RNAcentral
AUGCGUUCAUUUGCCUCAAACUUUAGAGGGGCUCAUUUAAGACUUAAUCGAAUGAUUACCCAACAGGUAAAAAGAGCCUUUGUUUCCUCUCAUCGAGAUAGAGGUAGGCAAAAGAGGGAUUUUCGUCGUUUGUGGAUCACUCGGAUAAACGCAGCAACGCGGAAGAAAUUGAUUCUUAAUCGUAAAAUGCUUGCACAAGUAGCUGUAUCAAAUCCAAAUAAUCUUUACACGAUUUCCAAUAAAAUAAAGAUCAUCAAUUAA